Long non-coding RNA from Betta splendens (Siamese fighting fish), 435 nucleotides. RefSeq lists it as uncharacterized. Lineage: Eukaryota; Metazoa; Chordata; Actinopteri; Anabantiformes; Osphronemidae. The record is from RefSeq and is a predicted model, not a curated record. The transcript is spliced from 3 exons.
CGCGCUUCCUCGACUAAGACGCGUUCAGGUGCUCUCAAACGCGUCGCAACAAACUUAAACUGCAAACAUACAGGAAGGAGACGUUUAUCCUCCACUGUCCAGUCCUCCGUGCGGGAACAAGUGCUAUAAUGCAUGGAGGGGCGGAUCACAAAGAGGAUGUACUGCGCACAUUUCUGUCCUCUGUCUACAAAGGGAAAGGAAGCAAAUGAACUCAUAUGGACGGACGGCAUCUUUUGACUUUUGCUGAAUCACCUUGAGGACAUCAAAGCAAUGUUAGUUUCUGAGAGCUGGAAGAGGACAGGCCCAGCGGCCGGUACCAGUCUGGUACCUGUACACGCCACCUUCAGCUUGUGUCUUCAGCAUGGAUGAAACGUCACUCACCCGCAGGGAGCGUCCCCCCCCCUCCUCCUCCUCCACAGUCCCUCACACCGUCAC